CCUACGGGAGGCAGCAGUGAGGAAUAUUGGUCAAUGGGCGCGAGCCUGAACCAGCCAAGUCGCGUGAGGGUAGACGGUCCUAUGGAUUGUAAACCUCUUUUGUCGGGGAGCAAAAGACGCCACGCGUGGCGUUCCCAGAGUACCCGCAGAUAAAGCACCGGCUACCUCCGUGCCAGCGGCCGCGGUUAUACGGGGGAUGCGAGCGUUAUCCGGAUUUAUUGGGUUUAAAGGUUGCGCAGGCGGAAGAUCAAGUGAGCGGUAAAAUUGAGCGGCACAACCGCUUCGUGCCGUUGAAACUGGUUUUCUGGAGUGAGCGAGAAGUAUGAGGAAUGCGUGGUGUAGCGGUGAAAUGCAUAGAUAUCACGCAGAACACCGAUUGCGAAGGCAGCAUAC
This 393-nucleotide ribosomal RNA is filed under the name uncultured bacterium. Its description in RNAcentral is "partial 16S ribosomal RNA". It matches the Rfam family "Bacterial small subunit ribosomal RNA", at positions 338 to 729 of the family's 1533-position model. The record is from RNAcentral.